Molecule: ribosomal RNA, 681 nt
Filed under: uncultured Bacilli bacterium
Lineage: Bacteria; Bacillati; Bacillota; Bacilli
Description: bacterial SSU rRNA
Rfam family: Bacterial small subunit ribosomal RNA
Source: RNAcentral
GCAAGUCGAACGAGAGCGACCGGUGCUUGCACUGGUCAAUCUAGUGGCGAACGGGUGAGUAACACGUGGGUAACCUGCCCAUCAGAGGGGGAUAACAUUCGGAAACGGAUGCUAAAACCGCAUAGGUCUUCGAACCGCAUGGUUUGAAGAGGAAAAGAGGCGCAAGCUUCUGCUGAUGGAUGGACCCGCGGUGCAUUAGCUAGUUGGUGAGGUAACGGCUCACCAAGGCCGUGAUGCAUAGCCGACCUGAGAGGGUGAUCGGCCACAUUGGGACUGAGACACGGCCCAAACUCCUACGGGAGGCAGCAGUAGGGAAUCUUCCGCAAUGGACGCAAGUCUGACGGAGCAACGCCGCGUGAGUGAAGAAGGUUUUCGGAUCGUAAAACUCUGUUGUUAGAGAAGAACAAGUGCUAGAGUAACUGUUAGCGCCUUGACGGUAUCUAACCAGAAAGCCACGGCUAACUACGUGCCAGCAGCCGCGGUAAUACGUAGGUGGCAAGCGUUGUCCGGAUCUAUUGGGCGUAAAGCGAGCGCAGGCGGUUCCUUAAGUCUGAUGUGAAAGCCCCCGGCUCAACCGGGGAGGGUCAUUGGAAACUGGGGGACUUGAGUGCAGAAGAGGAGAGUGGAAUUCCAUGUGUAGCGGUGAAAUGCGUAGAUAUAUGGAGGAACACCAGUGGCGAA